GUGGGUAUAGCUCAGUUGGUUAGAGCGCCGGAUUGUGAUUCCGGAGGUCGCGGGUUCGAACCCCGUUACUCACC
This 74-nucleotide transfer RNA is filed under the name bacterium. RNAcentral describes it as "tRNA-His". It matches the Rfam family "tRNA". From Rfam's summary of the family: Transfer RNA (tRNA) molecules are approximately 80 nucleotides in length. Their secondary structure includes four short double-helical elements and three loops (D, anti-codon, and T loops). Further hydrogen bonds mediate the characteristic L-shaped molecular structure. tRNAs have two regions of fundamental functional importance: the anti-codon, which is responsible for specific mRNA codon recognition, and the 3' end, to which the tRNAs corresponding amino acid is attached (by aminoacyl-tRNA synthetases). tRNAs cope with the degeneracy of the genetic code in two manners: having more than one tRNA (with a specific anti-codon) for a particular amino acid; and 'wobble' base-pairing, i.e. permitting non-standard base-pairing at the 3rd anti-codon position. The record is from RNAcentral. RNAcentral also lists the same sequence under 5 other names.